GGUUAAGUUAGAAAGGGCGCACGGUGGAUGCCUUGACACUAGGAGUCGAUGAAGGACGGGACUAACGCCGAUAUGCUUCGGGGAGCUGUAAGUAAGCUUUGAUCCGAAGAUUUCCGAAUGGGGAAACCCACCAUACGUAAUGGUAUGGUAUCCUUAUCUGAAUACAUAGGGUAAGGAAGACAGACCCAGGGAACUGAAACAUCUAAGUACCUGGAGGAAGAGAAAGCAAAUGCGAUUUCCUGAGUAGCGGCGAGCGAAACGGAACAUAGCCCAAACCAAGAGGCUUGCCUCUUGGGGUUGUAGGACAUUCUAUACGGAGUUACAAAGGAACGAGGUAGACGAAGCGACCUGGAAAGGUCCGUCGUAGAGGGUAACAACCCCGUAGUCGAAACUUCGUUCUCUCUUGAAUGUAUCCUGAGUACGGCGGAACACGUGAAAUUCCGUCGGAAUCUGGGAGGACCAUCUCCCAAGGCUAAAUACUCCCUAGUGAUCGAUAGUGAACCAGUACCGUGAGGGAAAGGUGAAAAGCACCCCGGAAGGGGAGUGAAAGAGAUCCUGAAACCGUGUGCCUACAAAUAGUCAGAGCCCGUUAACGGGUGAUGGCGUGCCUUUUGUAGAAUGAACCGGCGAGUUACGAUCCCGUGCGAGGUUAAGCUGAAGAGGCGGAGCCGCGCGAAAGCGAGUCUGAAUAGGGCGUUUAGUACGUGGUCGUAGACCCGAAACCAGGUGAUCUACCCAUGUCCAGGGUGAAGUUCAGGUAACACUGAAUGGAGGCCCGAACCCACGCACGUUGAAAAGUGCGGGGAUGAGGUGUGGGUAGCGGAGAAAUUCCAAUCGAACCUGGAGAUAGCUGGUUCUCCCCGAAAUAGCUUUAGGGCUAGCCUUAAGUGUAAGAGUCUUGGAGGUAGAGCACUGAUUGGACUAGGGGUCCUCAUCGGAUUACCGAAUUCAGUCAAACUCCGAAUGCCAAUGACUUAUCCUUAGGAGUCAGACUGCGAGUGAUAAGAUCCGUAGUCAAAAGGGAAACAGCCCAGACCGCCAGCUAAGGUCCCAAAGUGUGUAUUAAGUGGAAAAGGAUGUGGAGUUGCUUAGACAACUAGGAUGUUGGCUUAGAAGCAGCCACCAUUUAAAGAGUGCGUAAUAGCUCACUAGUCGAGUGACUCUGCGCCGAAAAUGUACCGGGGCUAAAUACACCACCGAAGCUGCGGAUUGAUACCGAAUGGUAUCAGUGGUAGGGAGCGUUCUAAGGACAGUGAAGUCAGACCGGAAGGACUGGUGGAGUGCUUAGAAGUGAGAAUGCCGGUAUGAGUAGCGAAAGACGGGUGAGAAUCCCGUCCACCGAAUGCCUAAGGUUUCCUGAGGAAGGCUCGUCCGCUCAGGGUUAGUCAGGACCUAAGCCGAGGCCGACAGGCGUAGGCGAUGGACAACAGGUUGAUAUUCCUGUACCACCUCUUUAUCGUUUGAGCAAUGGAGGGACGCAGAAGGAUAGAAGAAGCGUGCGAUUGGUUGUGCACGUCCAAGCAGUUAGGCUGAUAAGUAGGCAAAUCCGCUUAUCGUAAAGGCUGAGCUGUGAUGGGGAAGCUCCUUAUGGAGCGAAGUCUUUGAUUCCCCGCUGCCAAGAAAAGCUUCUAGCGAGAUAAAAGGUGCCUGUACCGCAAACCGACACAGGUAGGCGAGGAGAGAAUCCUAAGGUGUGCGAGAGAACUCUGGUUAAGGAACUCGGCAAAAUGACCCCGUAACUUCGGGAGAAGGGGUGCUUUCUUAACGGAAAGCCGCAGUGAAUAGGCCCAAGCGACUGUUUAGCAAAAACACAGCUCUCUGCGAAGCCGUAAGGCGAAGUAUAGGGGGUGACACCUGCCCGGUGCUGGAAGGUUAAGGAGAGGGGUUAGCGUAAGCGAAGCUCUGAACUGAAGCCCCAGUAAACGGCGGCCGUAACUAUAACGGUCCUAAGGUAGCGAAAUUCCUUGUCGGGUAAGUUCCGACCCGCACGAAAGGUGUAACGAUUUGGGCACUGUCUCAACCAGAGACUCGGUGAAAUUAUAGUACCUGUGAAGAUGCAGGUUACCCGCGACAGGACGGAAAGACCCCGUGGAGCUUUACUGUAGCCUGAUAUUGAAUUUUGGUACAGUUUGUACAGGAUAGGCGGGAGCCUUUGAAACCGGAGCGCUAGCUUCGGUGGAGGCGCUGGUGGGAUACCGCCCUGACUGUAUUGAAAUUCUAACCUACGGGUCUUAUCGACCCGGGAGACAGUGUCAGGUGGGCAGUUUGACUGGGGCGGUCGCCUCCUAAAGUGUAACGGAGGCGCCCAAAGGUUCCCUCAGAAUGGUUGGAAAUCAUUCGUAGAGUGCAAAGGCAUAAGGGAGCUUGACUGCGAGACCUACAAGUCGAGCAGGGACGAAAGUCGGGCUUAGUGAUCCGGUGGUUCCGCAUGGAAGGGCCAUCGCUCAACGGAUAAAAGCUACCCCGGGGAUAACAGGCUUAUCUCCCCCAAGAGUCCACAUCGACGGGGAGGUUUGGCACCUCGAUGUCGGCUCAUCGCAUCCUGGGGCUGUAGUCGGUCCCAAGGGUUGGGCUGUUCGCCCAUUAAAGCGGUACGCGAGCUGGGUUCAGAACGUCGUGAGACAGUUCGGUCCCUAUCCGUCGUGGGCGUAGGAAAUUUGAGAGGAGCUGUCCUUAGUACGAGAGGACCGGGAUGGACGCACCGCUGGUGUACCAGUUGUUCUGCCAAGGGCAUAGCUGGGUAGCUAUGUGCGGAAGGGAUAAGUGCUGAAAGCAUCUAAGCAUGAAGCCCCCCUCAAGAUGAGAUUUCCCAUAGCGUAGGCUAGUAAGAUCCCUGAAAGAUGAUCAGGUUGAUAGGUUCGAGGUGGAAGCAUGGUGACAUGUGGAGCUGACGAAUACUAAUAGAUCGAGGACUUAACCAU
This 2921-nucleotide ribosomal RNA is filed under the name Bacillus tropicus. Its description in RNAcentral is "23S ribosomal RNA". It matches the Rfam family "Bacterial large subunit ribosomal RNA". Lineage: Bacteria; Bacillati; Bacillota; Bacilli; Caryophanales; Bacillaceae. The record is from RNAcentral.